GACGAACGCUGGCGGCGUGCUUAACACAUGCAAGUCGAACGGUAAGGCCCUUCGGGGUACACGAGUGGCGAACGGGUGAGUGACACGUGAGUAAUCUGUCCUUGACUCUGGGAUAACUGCGGGAAACUGUAGCUAAUACCGGAUACGACACCUUCGGGCAUCCGAUGGGUGUGGAAAGAAUUUCGGUCAAGGAUGAACUCGCGGCCUAUCAGCUAGUUGGUGAGGUAAUGGCUCACCAAGGCGACGACGGGUAGCCGGCCUGAGAGGGUGACCGGCCACACUGGGACUGAGACACGGCCCAGACUCCUACGGGAGGCAGCAGUGGGGAAUAUUGCACAAUGGGCGAAAGCCUGAUGCAGCAACGCCGCGUGAGGGAUGAAGGCCUUCGGGUUGUAAACCUCUUUUAGUUGGGAAGAAGCGAAAGUGACGGUACCAACAGAAAAAGCACCGGCUAACUACGUGCCAGCCGCCGCGGUAA
Molecule: ribosomal RNA, 478 nt
Filed under: uncultured bacterium
Lineage: Bacteria
Description: partial 16S ribosomal RNA
Rfam family: Bacterial small subunit ribosomal RNA
Source: RNAcentral